CCACCUUGUGAGGUCUCUUUGGUCCCUUUCAUGUGAUCUUCGAUGACUUCAUAUUAGUCCCUAACCUCCAUUUACUGAAGUACUUGGCCGAGCCAUCUGACUCAUCACCCUGUACAAGGACAGUGUGACUCACACCAAUAAGCCGGAAGCAGGCCUGAAUCGAGGCAAGGCUAGAGUCAGGACACAACUAAUAGAUGCUGGAAGUGUUGACGGAAACCACUGUUGCAGAGGAACAAUGCGGGCUGAGCUUCAGUCCCCGGCUAUGACAUCAUGACCGAGAGCUCAGGACCCUGCUCAGAGUCCACAAUGCUACCCUCAGCUGGAUGCUGGCCAGAGCACAGCAAAAGGAUGCGUAACAUGUCACACGAUUCAACCUCUUCACUCGCUGUGCAAAUUUGUUUUUGUCCUCCACCACCCACUUCCACCAUGAUGUUCUGCCUCACCUCAAGCCCAGAACAUUGAAGAUGACGGGCCAGGGGCUGAAUCUCUGAAACAAAUCGGUUCCAAACAGUCAAGCCUGCCAGAAAAAACAGACAAACUCUCAAGAACAACAAUGCCUAUUAUGUGUGGUGGAGGAGCCGCCAGAUUUUGAUUACCGGCCAGACAUUAACUCCUUUGGUGUCUCAUGCAAGAAAUGCCAAGUCUGAAUCCAGAUAUUUUUCAGAAUAGCAUGAGAUCUGCAAUUUACAGUGUCUUCUGAAAAAAAAAAAGGCAACUGAGAGAAGGUAGUGCAAGUUAAAGACCACAUCUCCUGGUUUCUCGAAUUCUGCCAUGACUCUUCCUGGUAAACGGACAGACUGAGUACCUGUGCUCUUCCUUUUUCAGGCCUUAGGUUGUGGGCCAGAAGCAUGUUACUGUACCCACCUGUCCCACCUGUGUUGUCUUGAUGUCUAAAGGACUGUUGAAUUCUGCUGCCAUCGAGAAAAUGCGUGGAUUCCUGGAGGCCACCUCUUACAGUAAAACUGUGAGAAAGAAGAAUCCUUGCAAACUCUGUGAUCAGCAUCCCCUCCCAUCCCCCCAUAGACUCCCUGAAGGCUGUCAGACUCCAUCCUGCUUUGAGAUCUCGGAUAAAGCAGAGAGCAAUGCGAUUUUCAGAGGGAGGAUGAUAAUAUAAGUAUUUAGACCAUCGUGUGUGUGUAUAUCCUACGUGUGUAUAAAUACUGAAUAUUUAUUUUAGUAUUUCAUUUGUUCUUUCAUUUACUCUUUAAUACAUAUUUACGGAGAGUCCUCUGUGCGGUGGAUGUGGAUAACCAAGUAAGGUAGAAUCACAAUGUCUACCUUUUAGCCAGAUCUUAUUGCAUAUCAGCAUUGUGUUAAACAUUUUACAUUCAAAUGCAUGAAUGCACUUAAUCCUUAAAAAAAACAAAACAAAACAAAAACAAAAACAAACCUUGAAGAAACAGCUCUAUUUUACAUCUUAGUAAAUGGACUCCCAGAAAACUCAAGGGCACACAUGUAGUCAAUAUCAGAGUAGGAUGCACAUACAGGUAUGUUUGAUGCAAAAUGCAUUUCCCUAUUUACUUUGAUGUUGUCUUCCCAAAGAUGAAUCAAAAGAUAAAACCACAUUAACUUUCUUUCUCGGAAUUCCCCUUCUGUUUGGUGAGGAAAGAAACGCAUGUGAUCGAAUUCUGUUGAAGGGGGGAGAAGGUAGGAGAGGGUAGAGAAGCCUCUGUGGCUGGAAAUUCACUCAGCAGAGGGAAAGAGAGAGAGAUUUUGGCUGAGUGUGUCUUUGUUGGGUUAUCAAGAGAACUGAACUCACCCAGAGGCAGAGAUAUUUCUGGCUCAAAGAGUAAUUCUGUCACACAGAAUGGAGGGACUGGUCAGUGGGAAAUCCUUUAAGGCUGUUUCUCCACUUAAUUGCCCUUAUCUUUUCCUUCUUUUCAUUCUUAGGUUAUUUCCAGUCCUUACUAAAAGAGGACGCAGGGAGACUGUGAACUCAGCCAGGUGGAAGUGAUAACGAUUUUAGAGAAACCACAGGAGAAGGAAAAGCUCCUCCAACCAUCUUCUCACUACCACAAUGGGACCCGUACGGAUUAACUCUUUCAAGGAUGGAAAUAAAAAUGCAAGUUUUAGGUAGGUUUUAGUGUUGUGUGGAGGGAAAAACAAGGACUGAUCUAUUUGGUUCUCUUCACUUGAUUCACCCUGAAGGGCUUGCUGCCCUAAAGAUAAGUGGACAGAUGAAGAAAAGUAGUGUCCCCAGAUACCCCCAUGAAGCCAAUGCUCUCUGAAAGGAAGCAGCCACACAUUCAGCCCAGGGAGAACUUUUUGCAUCCAGGAGAGUGAUUUGGGUCAAAGGAAAGGAGAACAGUGACAUUACUGCCAGACUGCUUCUCUAACUAAGCCUUUAGCUCUUCUGUUCAGGACAAAUGGGAAUCCGCCAGCAUAGAUGUGACCUGUCCUGUCUGCUGGCAACCACAGUAUCAUAAUUCACUGGAGUUUCACUUUAAGAAUUUUAAGAAUUACCUGUGAGAUUUUGAGGGUCAAUAUUUUAGACUAUCAUCACUAUUGGACUAUUCAUUUGAAUACUUCUGGGGUUUAUGCCUCUUUUCAAAAGAAAUAUUGGGCUUCCCUAUAUUCAUUACAAAGUCUUUCUAGUCUUCAAAUCCUCCUGUAAAGUGUCUCUUCUCUAGUCUUUUAAGUGUACCGUAUGACUGAAUAUGAUGAUGGGAUAUUUACAUGUAUCCUUGUCUAUUGUGUCAAAGAUCAUUAAAAAAAAAAAAAGCCUGUCGUUAAAGCCCCCAAGUGAUUGGAUUGGCAUGAGGAACAGGAAUGGGGCUGGCGUGGAAGAGAGGAUCUGACUCUGGGAUUUCAUGAAAUCCAAAACAAUAGGACAGCUGCUUUUCCAUAAACAGAUUAUUAUUAUUAUUUCUACCUAGACAGCUUGAUAGCAGCCAUUAUCUUCUUUCUGGGUGUCUUAUCAAGUUCCGGCUGUGUGCAGCAUGGGCGAUAAGGAAUGAGGAAUGUCACCCAUGGGAUUGCCAAGGAUUAUUUCUAUGCACUGCUGGUCAGCAACGGCCAGGCCCUCAAAACUGAAAAGGAGCCCUAUUGUUCAUGCGGGCAGUUGCUAUUCUGACGACACCAAGAGAGCAGAAGGAGGAUGUAUUUGCCAUUGUGUGUAAGAUUGAAAUUUCAUGACUCUCAGCUAAAGUUCAAGCGGUCUUGAUUUUGAAAAGCAUAGUCAUUGUGGAAUAUCUUUGAAGAGGGAGAAGACAAGGGGAGGAAAGAAGAAUGAAAUGAGUUCAGAGCUCUUCAGAACUAUGAGAGAGCAUAAAGAAAGAAGAGAGGUGUAACACUCUCAAACACUGGAACUUAAAAUGCUAGGCAUCCGGGCCUCAGAGGAAUUGAGCAGCAUCCCAUAACCAUGACUUGUGCUCUAGUUGCUUAAUGUAAAGACUCCAGGCUUCAUUACUCAUCAGAAAAUAGCCAAUUUGCUGGAUUUCUGUUUCAUUGUCUCAGUUUCAUCCCAAAUUCUUGAACACAAUCAAUCUGUUGAUAUUAAAUUUUUUUUUCCUUUUCUCUUCAAUGAAGAAAUGAAUAUUUUAUUAGAGAAAUGCUGGCUCUGAAUGUUAGAGAAAAAAAAAUAGGAUCUCUUUGAAUUUUUAUUUCAGCAUUAGAGCUUCUCAACCUUUUAUCUUCUUAGAGAAAAGACUGCAUUAGAAGAAUAUGAAAACUCAAACGUACAACGAACCCACACUAUGUUCAUAUAGAAUUCCCCCAAAGGGUUCUGAGUGCUUCAGCCUUCUUGGUGCGCAGUUUUAGGGUCAUGCUGACAGUAUAAUGUAAGCCGCUUGGAAGUGGGCCAAAUCAAAUUUUUCCAACAUUUUAAAAUCGCUCUUCUGAAAGUGGAAUUUCAAAUGAAUAAAAUACUUUGCUCUUAUAUCAAUAGCUUCAGAAAAAAAAAAAGAACCCAGUCACAGAAUCAUUAAGAUGAAGCC
Non-coding RNA from Ictidomys tridecemlineatus (thirteen-lined ground squirrel), 3935 nucleotides. The record is from RefSeq and is a predicted model, not a curated record. Lineage: Eukaryota; Metazoa; Chordata; Mammalia; Rodentia; Sciuridae.